UACGUAGGGUGCGAGCGUUAAUCGGAAUUACUGGGCGUAAAGCGUGCGCAGGCGGUUUUGUAAGCCAGGUGUGAAAUCCCCGGGCUCAACCUGGGAAUGGCAUUUGGGACUGCAAGGCUGGAGUGUGGCAGAGGAGACUGGAAUUCCUGGUGUAGCAGUGAAAUGCGUAGAUAUCAGGAGGAACACCGAUGGCGAAGGCAAUCCCCUGGGCCUGCACUGACGCUCAUGCACGAAAGCGUGGGGAGCAAACAGG
RNAcentral lists this ribosomal RNA (253 nucleotides) under uncultured bacterium. RNAcentral's name for it is "partial 16S ribosomal RNA". It matches the Rfam family "Bacterial small subunit ribosomal RNA", at positions 524 to 776 of the family's 1533-position model. The record is from RNAcentral.